CGCUCUGUGCAUGCAGCAUAUCAAUAAGCGGAGGAAAAGAAACUAACAAGGAUUCCCCUAGUAACGGCGAGUGAAGCGGGAAGAGCUCAAAUUUGAAAUCUUAAAGGGUUUCCCUUUACGAAUUGUAGUUUAAAGAAGUGUUUUCUGUUGAGGUUUUGGUAAAAGUUCUUUGGAAUAGGACAUCAUAGAGGGUGAGAAUCCCGUAUUUGACCUUUACUUUCAACUUUGUGAUACACUUUCAAAGAGUCGGAUUGUUUGGGAAUGCAGUCCAAAAUGGGUGGUAAAUUUCAUCUAAAGCUAAAUAUUGGCGAGAGACCGAUAGCGAACAAGUACCGUGAGGGAAAGAUGAAAAGAACUUUGAAAAGAGAGUUAAACAGUACGUGAAAUUGUCAAAAGGGAAGCGUUUGACACCAGUGUUGUUUUUCUGAAAAUCAAUUAAAGAACUGUUUAUGCUAAGUUGUUUAGACUUUAUCAGCUAACUGUUUAGUUUUGAGCUUUUCUUUAAUGCACUUUUCAGUUAACAAGUCAACAUCAAUUUCUUUUGCUGUAAAAAAGCUUGAGGAAGGUGGCUUGAGAUUCGUCUUAAGUGUUUAUAGCCUCUUGCCUAUGCAGUCGGAGAGAUUGAGGUCUGCAGCGUAGAUCCUUCGGGCUAAAUGCAUUUGUGCCUAAGUUAUAGCAUUUUAUAGACAACUUGUUGACUAUGAUUUGUCUUGUAGCUUACUCGCUUAUGUUAUUUUACCUACGCUUAGGAUGUUGAAUCUGUGCGAGACUAC
Molecule: ribosomal RNA, 773 nt
Filed under: uncultured Neocallimastigales
Lineage: Eukaryota; Fungi; Neocallimastigomycota; Neocallimastigomycetes; Neocallimastigales
Description: partial large subunit ribosomal RNA
Rfam family: Eukaryotic large subunit ribosomal RNA
Source: RNAcentral